Molecule: non-coding RNA, 71 nt
Organism: Megalops atlanticus (tarpon)
Lineage: Eukaryota; Metazoa; Chordata; Actinopteri; Elopiformes; Megalopidae
Source: the annotation of a GenBank genome assembly
GGCAGUGUAGCAUAAUGGUUAAGGAGAGGGACUCGUAAUCAAAAGGUCGCUGGUUCAAUUCCCCGCUGGGG